UGCUGAAUGUGAUGUGAAGGUCAAGGUUAUUUCAAUCACACAGCUGCCACAGAUGACCAUAAGACUAUAGUAAAGGCCAGUAGAGAUCUGUCACAUCAAGUUACAGGAAUUAACUUGGAUAGUCUAGAUGACCACAACAGUAUGGCCAGUGUAGAGGAUAGUCUAGAUGACCACAACAGUAUGGUCAGUGGAGAGGAUAGUCUAGAUGACCACAACAGUAUGGCCAGUGAAGGAGACAUCUCAACAUAUUUUACAGGUACACAUGAAGUACAAGAAUGUCUUGAAGGUCAAGGUGAGGUAGAUCUACACACACACCUUGCAAACUGUGAGAAAAAUCCUGGCCAUAAAAACUUUGUACCUGUAAAUCAGUU
Molecule: long non-coding RNA, 371 nt
Organism: Physella acuta
Lineage: Eukaryota; Metazoa; Mollusca; Gastropoda; Physidae
Source: RefSeq, a predicted model, not a curated record